Molecule: ribosomal RNA, 506 nt
Filed under: uncultured bacterium
Lineage: Bacteria
Description: partial 16S ribosomal RNA
Rfam family: Bacterial small subunit ribosomal RNA
Source: RNAcentral
AGUGAACGCUGGCGGUAGGCCUAACACCUGCAAGUCGAACGGCAGCACAGGAGAGCUUGCUCUCUGGGUGGCGAGUGGCGGACGGGUGAGGAAUACAUCGGAAUCUACUCUGUCGUGGGGGAUAACGUAGGGAAACUUACGCUAAUACCGCAUACGACCUACGGGUGAAAGCAGGGGACGUUCGGGCCUUGCGCGAUUGAAUGAGCCGAUGUCGGAUUAGCUAGUUGGCGGGGUAAAGGCCCACCAAGGCGACGAUCCGUAGCUGGUAUGAAAGUAGUAUCAGCCACACUGGAACUGAGACACGGGCCAGACUCCGACGGGAGGCAGCGGUGGGGAAUAUUGAACAAGGGGCGCAAGCCUGAUCCAGCCAUACCGCGUGGGUGAAGAAGGCCUUCGGGUUGUAAAGCCCUUUUGUUGGGAAAGAAAUCCAGCUGGCUAAUACCCGGUUGGGAUGACGGUACCCAAAGAAUAAGCACCGGCUAACUUCGUGCCAGCAGCCGCCGUAA